RNAcentral lists this ribosomal RNA (451 nucleotides) under uncultured prokaryote. RNAcentral describes it as "bacterial SSU rRNA". It matches the Rfam family "Bacterial small subunit ribosomal RNA", at positions 355 to 796 of the family's 1533-position model. The record is from RNAcentral.
UGGGGAAUAUUGCGCAAUGGGCGAAAGCCUGACGCAGCGACGCCGCGUGUGGGAGGAAGCCUUUCGGGGUGUAAACCACUGUCAGAGGGGAAGAACGGCGACUAGUCGAACAGGCUAGUCGAUUGACGGUACCCUCACAGGAAGCGCCGGCUAACUCCGUGCCAGCAGCCGCGGUAAGACGGAGGGCGCAAGCGUUGUUCGGAAUUACUGGGCGUAAAGCGCGGGCAGGCGGUCUGUUAAGUCGUUUGUGAAAACCCGGGGCUCAACCCCGCGGAAUGCAUACGAUACUGGCGGACUGGAGACCGGUAGAGGCUAGCGGAAUUCCAGGUGUAGCGGUGGAAUGCGUAGAUAUCUGGAAGAACACCUGUGGCGAAGGCGGCUAGCUGGGCCGGGUCUGACGCUCAUCCGCGAAAGCGUGGGGAGCAAACAGGAUUAGAUACCCCCGUAGUCC